GCAAGAGCGGCGGGGUCCUCCGACGGGCGAAGUCCCCAGUGCCUGUGUGCAUUCGGUGCGUCCGCUCCCUAGACGCGGCCCCAGGUGCGGGGUGGUGGAGGCGGAGUCGGCCCCUGAGCCCUGCCCGCGGUAGUUCGCCGGGAUGAACCUGGAGUUGUUGGAGUCCUUUGGACAGAACUACCCAGAGGAAGCUGAUGGAACUUUGGAUUGCAUCAGUAUGGCCCUGACCUGCACCUUUAACAGAUGGGGCACACUGCUUGCUGUUGGCUGUAACGAUGGCCGAAUUGUCAUUUGGGAUUUCUUGACAAGAGGCAUUGCUAAAAUAAUUAGUGCCCACAUCCAUCCAGUCUGUUCCUUAUGCUGGAGUCGAGAUGGUCACAAGCUUGUGAGUGCAUCAACUGAUAACAUAGUGUCACAGUGGGAUGUCUUAUCUGGAGACUGUGAUCAGAGGUUUCGAUUCCCUUCACCUAUACUGAAAGUCCAGUAUCAUCCCCGAGAUCAGAACAAAGUUCUUGUAUGCCCUAUGAAAUCAGCUCCUGUUAUGUUGACCCUUUCUGAUUCCAAACAUGUCGUCUUGCCAGUAGAUGAUGAUUCUGAUCUAAAUGUGGUUGCAUCUUUCGAUAGACGAGGGGAAUAUAUCUAUACGGGGAAUGCAAAGGGGAAGAUCUUGGUCCUAAAAACAGAUACCCAGGAUCUAGUUGCUUCUUUCAGAGUAACAACUGGGACCAGCAAUACCACAGCUAUAAAAUCAAUAGAGUUUGCUCGGAAGGGGAGUUGCUUUUUAAUAAAUACAGCAGAUCGAAUAAUCCGAGUGUAUGAUGGCAGGGAAAUUUUAACCUGUGGCAGAGAUGGAGAACCAGAACCAAUGCAGAAACUGCAGGAUUUGGUAAACAGGACACCUUGGAAGAAAUGCUGUUUCUCUGGAGAUGGGGAAUACAUAGUUGCAGGCUCUGCCCGACAGCAUGCCUUAUAUAUCUGGGAGAAGAGUAUCGGUAACUUGGUGAAGAUUCUUCAUGGGACCAGAGGAGAGCUUCUGUUGGAUGUAGCUUGGCAUCCUGUCCGACCCAUAAUAGCAUCCAUUUCUAGUGGAGUGGUAUCUAUCUGGGCACAAAAUCAAGUGGAAAACUGGAGUGCGUUUGCACCAGACUUUAAAGAGCUGGAUGAAAAUGUGGAGUAUGAGGAAAGGGAGUCAGAGUUUGACAUUGAGGAUGAAGAUAAGAGUGAGCCGGAACAAACAGGUGCUGAUGCUGCAGAAGAUGAAGAAGUAGAUGUCACUAGUGUAGAUCCUAUAGCUGCCUUUUGUAGCAGUGAUGAGGAGCUGGAAGAUUCAAAGGCUUUGUUAUACUUACCCAUUGCCCCUGAGGUAGAAGACCCAGAGGAAAAUCCUUAUGGGCCCCCACCUGAUGCUGUCCAAACCUCAUUGAUGGAAGAGGGAGCUGGUUCAGAGAAGAAGAGACAGUCCUCAGCGGAUGGGCCCCAGCCACCAAAGAAGAAAACCAAAACAACCAACAUUGAGCUGCAAGGAGUACCUAAUGAUGAAGUCCAUCCGCUACUGGGGGUGAAGGGGGAUGGCAAAUCGAAGAAGAAGCAAGCAGGCCGGCCUAAAGGAUCAAAAGUAGCCCAGUGCCAAUAAUGAAGUUGGUGGUUGUACACUCCAGAAUGGCUAGGAAGAAAGAUGAAGUUUUUGAGGUACAUACCAUCAUGAUGUCAGGACCCGAAAAUGGGAGGAGAAAACCUGGGAGGAGCUGACCAGAAAAGCAGCUACUGGGAUGUAGAGGCUGCAAUGUCUGUCAGGGGGAGCAAUCUCAGAACUAUUAUGAAGACGACCUUGGGAGUUCUCCAUUCUUUUCCCACUCUGCAGUCAUGCAGCCUCGGACAUUGUGCUCGGACAAAUGAGACUGACUUUCAUUUAAAACCAAGGCCUCCGCCUCUCUCAGCAGGUGGAAGGAGGAGUGAUGUUUAUUUUUGAAUGAAGUGAAUUAUGAAAGAAGGGUGACCCUCCCCAGCCCUCCCUCUCAAAGCAGAAUUCCGAAUAGACUCAGGAAAAGAGGAUUUGCAAAGACUUAACGGGACUCCUGGCUCAUUUAGGGGAAUGCUUCUCUGCUUAGUUAUGCUGCUGAAACAACGCCUAUGUUUUCUUUGUAUGACCUUUCUUAACUAAACAUCACUUUGAUCUGCCCUUUCCCAUCCCCUGCUCCCUCUCAUCCCUUAGCGCAUGUCCUCAAGUGAAUCAUUCUUCUGUGUAACUUUUCCUCUCCCUGCUAUUGUCUCAUAGAAAAGGAUCUGUUGCAUACUCUCUCUUUUCUCUCUCCUUUCUUCCCUGAUCCAGUCAACAUAUAAAGGCCUGUAUUCCGUGUUACAUUAUUCUUUUUUUAAGAACAGGCAAGAAAACAAAGUGCUUAUAAUCUGAAAAGCUCAGGAAAACGUAGAGCCAUCAGAAAGGGAAGACAUAGAUAAGAAACCCGUUUUGACUAUCAUAUAACCUUUUCCCCAGGAGGUUGGGAUGUAAAAUGUUCUAUUUCUUUUUUUCCGUUUUAGCCUUCAGCAUCAAUUUAGUCUCUCUAAAUCAUGUUUCUAAAGACAGGUAGUUUCACCUGUUCAGGCAAAGUAGCACAUGAGGGCUUUUGUUUUUUGGCUGUCAUGUGCAAACUACUAGAGAAGAAACCAAACAAAGGUAUCUCUGAGCCUUCUUUUAUGAAGAAGUAUCUAUGCAAGGUCUAAAAUGGAGCUGUCCAAAAUCAGAUGCAGCAACAUAGUUCAAAUCAAAGUUCAAAGUGAAUUUUUUUCAUCAGUGUCCAUGGAUUUGCCCUUCCCUCAAAACAUCAGUGUUGUCCCCACCUGUGUCUGUGUUGUGAGCAGUUUCAGUUUCCUCCUUACAAUUCCUCUAUUAGUAUUUUUUUUUUUUGGUCACUUCCUUUCUGUGAAAGGCUUCUCAGUUGUCUCAGCUUCUUCACCACCACUUAGGAAACAAGAGUGGCAGCUCGAAUGUGUGCACACAUGAGAAACCUUUGGAUUUUUAAAAGUUGCCCAGAAUUCUUUCCACUUCCAUUGCUGGUCCUUUGUGAACUCACGGAGCUCAUCGUCUGGCCUGUUCUGCUUAUGUCUUGUCGCUUAUUGUCUCAAAAGUUCAUUUUAGGGAACCAACAUGUGAAAUGAGGAUCCACAGCCCUGGGUGCAGUAUUCAUCUAGCUAUGUCUGUUUUAAUGUGAAGGUAGUAUUUUUUCUUAACUUCUUGAGGAAAGCUUUAGAACAGUUUACACUAUAGCAUGAGGAGGAACCCACUUGAGCCCAUAGAUGAUCCAAGAAAGAGAUGAACCUGGUUAUUUGAAAGGAUGUUGGAGGGAUAGAAGGAGAAACAAAAAAUGUCUGAAACAGCCUUUCCUCCCGUUUCACUUGUUCGUGUAAGUGAAAGGUCCAUUUCCCAAGAUAUGUGACAAAAAGUCCGUGUUCUUUGAUAUAACUUAUUCUCUACAAAACCCUUGUUACCUAGACUCUUAAAACAAGUUACUCAGUAGUAGAGUAAUUGUGUGGACUACUGGACAUGUUUCUGUUUUACAUCAUAAGGAACACUGUCAUUACUUUAGAUUGUAUUCUGUAUUAGUCUGCCAGUUCACAUAAAUGCUUUUCUACCCUGUCACCAUUUACCAUGUAAUUUGAAUUUUCUUGCCUGGGUACUUGGGUAUUGAGCUAUUUCCCCUCCCAAGUGUGAGAGUGCCAAUCUAAGCUCCUUCAAGUUGGCUCUUGACAACAUCUUCAGGAUUCGUUUUUGUGAUUCAAAGAUUUUCUUCCGUUCUUCAAACUCGCUGUCCAUUUCAUUUGACUGCUUCACUGUUUGUACAAUAUAUGUAUAUUUUUUUCCUCCUUUCAUCUCCCUACGUGUGUAUGUGUGUUUUCUCUCUCGUCACUUUUUUUUUAAAGUUUUAAAUGCUCUGUAGUUUUGUAAAAGAUGAAAAUUGGUCACUUGAAUAGUUCUUGCUAAAGUGAUGAUGCUUUGUAAAUAAAGAUGAUCGUUUUACUUAAA
Phascolarctos cinereus (koala) is the source of this 4021-nucleotide RNA transcript. It is a transcript of the gene named RB binding protein 5, histone lysine methyltransferase complex subunit, with no coding region annotated. The record is from RefSeq and is a predicted model, not a curated record. Lineage: Eukaryota; Metazoa; Chordata; Mammalia; Diprotodontia; Phascolarctidae.